GAUGAACGCUGGCGGCGUGCCUAACACAUGCAAGUCGAGCGAGGGUUUGCUCAGUAUUGAGUAUUCUAAGAUUAGAAUAUUCAAUUCUGAGCAAAACCAAGCGGCGGACGGGUGAGUAACGCGUGGGUAACCUGCCCUAUACACAUGGAUAACAUACUGAAAAGUUUACUAAUACAUGAUAAUAUAUAUUUGCGGCAUCGCAGAUAUAUCAAAGUGUUAGCGGUAUAGGAUGGACCCGCGUCUGAUUAGCUAGUUGGUGAGAUAACUGCCCACCAAGGCGACGAUCAGUAGCCGACCUGAGAGGAUGAACGGCCACAUUGGAACUGAGACACGGUCCAAACUCCUACGGGAGGCAGCAGUGGGGAAUAUUGCACAAUGGGGGGAACCCUGAUGCAGCGACGCCGCGUGAGCGAAGAAGGUUUUCGAAUCGUAAAACUCUGUCCUAUGAGAAGAUAAUGACGGUAUCAUAGGAGGAAGCCCCGGCUAAAUACGUGCCAGCAGCCGCGGUAAUACGUAUGGGGCGAGCGUUGUCCGGAAUUAUUGGGCGUAAAGGGUACGUAGGCGGUUUUUUAAGUCAGGUGUGAAAGCGUGAGGCUUAACCUCAUUAAGCACUUGAAACUGGAAGACUUGAGUGAAGGAGAGGAAAGUGGAAUUCCUAGUGUAGCGGUGAAAUGCGUAGAUAUUAGGAGGAAUACCGGUGGCGAAGGCGACUUUCUGGACUUUUACUGACGCUCAGGUACGAAAGCGUGGGGAGCAAANNGG
This 762-nucleotide ribosomal RNA is filed under the name uncultured Eubacteriales bacterium. RNAcentral describes it as "bacterial SSU rRNA". It matches the Rfam family "Bacterial small subunit ribosomal RNA", at positions 28 to 776 of the family's 1533-position model. The record is from RNAcentral. Lineage: Bacteria; Bacillati; Bacillota; Clostridia; Eubacteriales.